RNAcentral lists this ribosomal RNA (440 nucleotides) under uncultured bacterium. Its description in RNAcentral is "partial 16S ribosomal RNA". It matches the Rfam family "Bacterial small subunit ribosomal RNA", at positions 338 to 795 of the family's 1533-position model. The record is from RNAcentral.
CCUACGGGAGGCAGCAGUAGGGAAUAUUGCUCAAUGGGGGAAACCCUGAAGCAGCAACGCCGCGUGAAGGAUGAAGGUUUUAGGAUUGUAAACUCCUUUUGUUAGAGAAGAUUAUGACGGUAUCUAACGAAUAAGCACCGGCUAACUCCGUGCCAGCAGCCGCGGUAAUACGUAGGGUGCAAGCGUUACUCGGAAUCACUGGGCGUAAAGAGUGCGUAGGCGGGGUAAUAAGUCAGAUGUGAAAUCCUGUAGCUUAACUACAGAACUGCAUUUGAAACUGUUACUCUGGAGUGUGGGAGAGGUAGGUGGAAUUCUUGGUGUAGGGGUAAAAUGCGUAGAGAUCAAGAGGAAUACUCAUUGCGAAGGCGACCUGCUGGAACAUUACUGACGCUGAUGCACGAAAGCGUGGGGAGCAAACAGGAUUAGAUACCCUUGUAGUC